GCCUUUAUAGCUCAGUGGUAGAGCGCAUCACUCGUAUACGCGUACCCGAUGAUGAGGUCCAUUGUUCGAUCCAGUGUGGAGGCA
Ceratobasidium sp. AG-Ba is the source of this 84-nucleotide non-coding RNA. The record is from the annotation of a GenBank genome assembly. Lineage: Eukaryota; Fungi; Basidiomycota; Agaricomycetes; Cantharellales; Ceratobasidiaceae.